RNAcentral lists this long non-coding RNA (13574 nucleotides) under Vitis vinifera (wine grape). Its description in RNAcentral is "long non-coding RNA (VVIN_LNC005186)". The record is from RNAcentral. Lineage: Eukaryota; Viridiplantae; Streptophyta; Magnoliopsida; Vitales; Vitaceae.
GGAGAGUGCAUACUCAGAAUCAGAACUAGCGUUGGUGUUACCAGAUGCUAUUUCCUGUAUAUUUCUUCUAAUUUCACACUUGGGAGGAUACAAUGAGUAGCCAGCUACAUCUCAAGCCUCCAGAAUCUUUGUGUCUGGCCUGUGGAAAGCACGAACAUGGAGGCCUCCAUCAAUAUGAAGGUUGAUCAUUGUCCUGUAAUUCACAGCUUUCUUAUUGUCGCUCAGCUUAAAAACAAAACAACCGGACAGAAUGGCUGAAAAGAUCUUCAUCUGCCUAUAAGCAAACUCCUUUCCCAAACAAAUUCUCGGGCCUGCCUGUUAACCAAAAGAAACUGAUUUUAGCUUUCUUCAUGAGCAUGAACUUAGUAUUAUUUCUCAUAUCCCUUUUUGGACAUGGAUAGGAGUUGCUAAACUUGAAAAAGGUCUUUUCCUUGAUACAUUUUCCAUGGAGAAGUGUUGAACAGAAGAGUAAACUUAUAUGGGGUGAAGGUGAGUUUGAAGCAUGAAAUAAUGGAAUGUAAAAUCUAACCUGAAAUGCAGUGAAUUUGAAAGGGCUUUCUGGGCAAAAAAGGCCCUUCUCAUUAAGCCAUCUCUCUGGUCGGAAUUCCUCUGCAUCAUCGCCCCAUACGAAUCUCAUCCUGCCCAUUGCAUAUGGUUGGUAAGACACUAUAUCUCCUUUCCUCACACUGAACCCAUCUGGCAGCGUGUCAUCUGAAAAGCAAAUCUUUGCAUCCUGCAAACCCAGAGUCAGAAAAUUUGAGAUUUCAGAACUGUUUGGCACAAAAUAUAAUGCAGAAGAUGAAAAUUUGCUAGGAAGAUGUCAAAAAAGGAGAAGAGCAACAUAUCAAUGCUUUAAAAUCAUUUCCCAGAUAUAUAUCAAAUAGUUUGAUAUAGUUGUCCUAUGCCUUUCUUGAUGAAAAACCAGUUAUUGUUGGGAGUUAAUUCAAAACCAGGAAAGCUUCAAAUCUAUGCAUAUGUAUGUGCGAAUGACUACAAAAUCACAAUGCUCAUUACCACAGGAACUGCAGGAUAGAGUCGUAGAGUCUCAGUUAUAGCAGCAUGGAGAUGCUGCAUGUUCUCCAGAGCUUCUUCAGUAACACUGGCUGCAAACUCGGCAUAGUUUGUGGCCUCUUUCAGGUUGAUCGCUUCCCUCACUUCUUGUGCCACCUUUUCCUGAAUGGUGGGAUGCUUGCAAAGCAUGUAAAUGAACCAGGAAAGAGCAGUUGCUGUCGUGUCUUUUCCAGCAAUUAUAAAAUUGAGGAUUAUAUCCCGUAAGUAUUUUGGAUCAAUCUCUAUGUCCUUCAACUGCAGAAACCUUGAUAAAAUAUCGUCUUUCUUCAUCUGCCAUAACACAUAAUGAAAAAGUGAGAUUAAUUAUGCUCCAUAUUUUGAUGAAAAAUACAAUUACUAGGUGAUUCACUCACUGAAGAAUCAUUUUGUGAAUUCUUCAUUAGUUCAGUCUUGCUGUGGAUUAGCUUGUACACGAAGUCAUCAACCACUUUGAUACUCCUCUUUAACGUGGCCUCUGAACCGAUAUUCAGACUUUUCUUGAUUGUCCAGAAGAUAUCAACAUACCGAUAAAGGGUCAUGGCACUUGCAUCAUCAAAUGCGCUGCCAAACUUGGUGCCUUCUUCAUUUGAUCCACACAUGCUGUCUAGUUCUACCCCAAAUGCAACUUUGAAUAUGGAAUCUAAGGUUGCUUUCAUAAAAAGAUCCUGCAUAGAAACUUUGUAUUAAUCAAGAGACAAGAGGAUUGUUCUGUAUGUGAAUUCGGCAUCAUGUAAAUAACCUUACUUGAAUAUCCAUUGUCUGGUUGGAGCUUGCAGCUUCAGACACUACUAUAGCAAGUUUUGCCCCAUUUUUUCGGAAAACUACACUGCUGAAGUCCCUCAAUACCUUUGUAGAGAAUUCAUAGCUCGAUACCUUUCUCUGUUGCCGCCAUUUCUCAUCGUCAACUGUGAAAAUUCCAUCACCAAGUAGAUCCCUCAGAAUGUUAUAGUUAUAGGAACCCUGCACAAAGUUUUCAAAGAACCAAAAUUUUGAGCUCCAACCUCAGGUUUUGAACUCCAUUCCCGAUUCAAAAAUAAUUAAAUUAACAAACAAAACCUCCAAAUUUGGGGUUCAAAGGAUAAACCCUGAAAUUAAUCAUAGUGGAAGAUCCCCAAUGGCUGGAAAAUAAUAGGCACUUUCACAACAAUUCCAUUUUUUCCCAAGGCAAAUCAAGAUGAGAUAGAAAAAUCCAAAAAUUAGUUGACACUUGAUGUAAGAAUUGAGCUUUGGCAUGAAUUGAUUAUUGUUUCCCCGGUUUUAUCCUAUGCUGGAUGGGUGGAAGAUAACUUGAAAUUCCCUCCUUCUUUUCCUUUUCCCGAUAAUUUCCAAAGCUUGAUCAAAAUCACUUUCCAUAUUUGUUUCCCCUGUCUAUCUAUAAAUAGGCAUACACACAAAAAAUAAAAAAUAAAAACCAAAGAAAGACCCCUCUUGACAAUCAACUUAGUUCUUGAUUUCUUAUUUCUUCAGUCCAUUAAAACCCAAACAGCCAAAACCCUGAUAUUCCUGCAAAUUUCUUCAAGAAACAAGUAAUAAUAAGAAUUGGGUUUUGAUUGAGAGCCUUUACCUUGCCAUAAUUCUCGAAGUUUGUCUUGAGUAUAUACUCGACAUUAGCUGGGUCAGCAGUGUAAAUCUCAUUCCUAAAGGGGCUGAGCAGCCUGUAAGUCCUGUGCUUCCCAGCAAGAUCAGUCAUGUAGUGGUGCAACCUGUUGAAGUUGAAGAGCUGGUUGAAGACUGUACCGCCAAUAGGGUGAUACCUCCUCUUCUUUUCUGUUGAUUUUCCCACUAAGAUUUUCAUGAGAAAAACAAGGGUUAGAGCAGAAAUUGCGAAAACCAGGGACAUGGGGUUGCAGAAAAAGCCCAUGGACACCAUCUUGGACGUUGAUGAAAGAAGGAGCUGCAAGAUAUACAUGGGUAAAAAAAUGGAUUGCUUUUGGAUCUUGGAAGAGUGGCCGUGCGUUACUUGAACUUCUUUUUGCUCUUAUAUUAUUAUAUCCAUGAGACUGAAUCCAUAAUCAGGCAAUUCAUUGAUUUGAAUGAAGUUUUUCUUUUCCAAUUUACCUUCUACUCCUCAAAAAGAAUAAAAAAAGCUAGAGAUAUAAAUUAUUUUCUAAGCAUUCAAACUAUAUAUGUUUUUUUUUAUAAAAAAUAUUAUACUAUAUCAAAAGGUAUCUUAUCAAAGUUUGACAUUGUGGGGAUUCUCAUAUUCAAUUUUUAUCUUAUCAAAUUAUUUAAUAAUUUCUUUUUAUAUGUCUAUAAACCCUAAAUACCAAAAUAUAUCCGUAAUUAGUUUCUGCGGAGCACGAUGUAAUAUAUGAGAGUAGGACGAACAUUGAAUGCAUGAGUACUGAGUCUUGUCAAGUAUCACAAGUCCCCAACUAAGUCUACGAGAGGGUUGGCUCACCUUUCUAGACAGCUAUAGAGUUCCUUGCCCCAUAAAGGCAGGUAGAAGCAUAGAGUUUUGGGUCAAAAUGACCCAUGUAUUAAUUAUAUCAAACCACUUUAUCAAACUAACGUUCAAAGUAACCUCCUUGGUAUCACAUAGGAGUAUGUCAUAAAAAUAUAUAUUUUUUCGAAAUUUCAAUGAAAGCCGGUAAUUGAGAUUUCAUUUUUGAAUUGAAAUUAUUAUUAUCAAGUGAGACUUUAAUUUUUGAACUAAAGUCGUAAUUAUCAAUUGAGACUUUAUUUUUUAACUGAAGUCUUAAUUGAUAAUUGAGGCUUUAGUUUUUCAACUGAGGCUUUAGUUAAUUUUUUUUUAAAUUUAAUUAAAAAUUAUUAAAUUAUAAUUUAUUAUUGAAAUUAAAAAUCUAUGCUUUAGUAAUAAAUUAUUCAUAUUUAAGCUUAAGAAUUUAAUAUUACUUCAACAAACAUAAAUUGAUAAAUAUAAGAUAUUAUAAAUGAAUAUUCUAUUUAUUAAUAAAUUAAUAAUGUUAAAAUAAUAAAUUUAUAUAACAUAUAAAUAAAAUAUACAAUUGUAUAAUUUAUUAAUUUAAGAUAUUUAAUUUGUUAUUUUUUAAGAUAUUAAUUUAUUUGUAUUAUGACAAAUUUAUCUUUAUCGAAAUAAUAGUAUACUCUUAAGCGGUAGUUGUCAACUGAGGCUUCAGUUAAUAUUUUUUUUUUUUUACUUUCAAAUUUAAUUAAAAACUAUUAAAUUACAACUUAUUAUUGAAAUUAAAAAUAUGUAUUUUAAUAAUAAAUUAUUUAUAUUUAAACUUAAAAAUCCAGUAUUACGUCAAUAAACAUAAAUUGAUAAAUAUAAUACAAUAAAUGAAUAUUUUAUUUAUCAAUAAAUUAGUAAUCUUAAAAUAAUAAAAUUAUAUGACAUACAAAUAAGAUAUAAAAUUUUAUAAUAUAUUAAUUUAAGAUAUUUAAUUUGUUGUUUUUAAGAUAUUAAUUUAUUUGUAUUAUGACAAAUUUAUCUUUAUUGAAAUAAUGGUACACUCUUAAGUUUCUAUAUAUUGAUUUUUUUGAAAAAAUUAGUUAAUGAAAUUAGUCAGAAAAAGUCUAAUGCAAAUAGAACCAAUGGCACCAAUCAUACGUAACACCAAUCCACACCACAAAUUUGAAUUAAUUUUUGCUACUGGGGCUGCCUCCACAUUUAAGCUUCUAGAUUAAAUUUUUCAACACCCAAUGGAUAACAGGUGUUAUGACUUAUCAGACAAAUUAUUAACAACUUGACCAAAGCUCCUGACAUCACUGGUUUCUCUCAACCCUUUUCAGAUGCCUCUUUCGUUAUGGACUGGAGCUAUGAGAAAAAGGGGGGAGAGUAAGAGCGAAAGAGACAUGUAAAAAAUGUCCAAGAAAAGCCUGGGUUGAUUUUCAGAUCAAUUUUGACUUAGGGAGUGAGUUAGUUCUAGGGUGGACACAAUGGAAAAAGGCCAUGAAAUCCUAGUGGGGAAGUGAGUUAGUUCUAGGCAGAUUUUUGCAGUAGUUUGGAAGGCUGGAAGGCUGUACCGCUAAUCGUCCUUGGAUUCACCCAAUUCUUAACCACUGCUCACUUCUAUGCUUUCCCCAUCUAAAUGAUGCCACUGAUAAAAGUGACCAAACGCACCAUCCCAAGUGAAAAAAAGAACCAAAGAUCCAGACAUUAUUUAAUACUCGCCCACUGGCAUCAUCCUAUGCAUUAUAUUGGUGUUGCUGAAACUUGAAAGCUACCCAGCGGCAGCGCUGGAACCUUAAUGCAGCUUUGCUGGACUAGUGUGCCAGUUAACUAAUCCUACUUUUGAAGAAUACAACAGUAAUUGCAGAAGUAAGUGCCCUUUCGGCCUUUCCCACCUAUUCAAUUUAACAUGAAUCAUAGCCAUAGGCCAGCAACCACACAGCUAAUAAAAGUAAAGGGCGGUAGUCCCCCCCAUACGUUUAAUAAAUUGGACACAUUUUGGUCCCGUGGGGCAGCAAUCUGGGACUUAUUCUCCCUUUCUUGUGUUGUUUGUUGGGUUAUCUCUAUCAAAGGCUAAGUACAAUUCAUCAAGCCUAAUCAGAACAAAUUUGGAAAACAAACAAAUCGAAAGCAAAUUUUGGUAACCCACUUCAUGUACUGAGUAGACAUGCCUAUCAUGAAAUAUCUAGCAGACUUUUGAGUUUUGGGUCAAAAUGCCCCUGUAUACACAAAUAUAUUAGAUGUAAAAGCUUUAUGAAACUUAUGUUCAAAUUGGCCUAUUUGGUGCUACGUAAAGCCAUAUCAUAGAAAUAUAUAUAUAUAUUUUUAAAUUUUAAUUUAAGCCUCAAUUGGCAACUGAUGCUUCAUUUUUGAAUUGAAGUUACAGUUGUCAACUAAGAUUUCAUUUUUUGAACUAAAGUUGUAAUUGUCAGUUAAGACUUCAUUUUUUAACUGAAUCCUCAUUUGGCAACUAAGACUUUAUUUUUUAACUAAAGCCUCAAUUGACAAUUGAGGCUUUAGUUAAUUUUUUUUUUAACUUUAAAAUUUAAUUUAAAACUAUUAAAUUGUCGUUUAUUAUUGAAAUAAAAAUAUAUAUUUUAAUAAUAAAUUAUUUAUAUUUAAACUUAAGAAUCUAAUAUUACUUCAACAAAUAUAAAUUGAUAAAUAGAAGAUAUUAUAAAUGAAUAUUUUAUUUAUUAAUAAAUUAAUAAUCUUAAAAUAAUUUAUAUGUAUUAUGUCAAAUUUAUCCAUAGGUUCUCUCAUUGUGGAGGCAUAUGAGAUUAUAUAUGUUUUUUUUUUCUAGCAUAUAAAUGUUUAGUGGGUAUUUUUUGUGAGUUUUAUAAAACUACUAAAAAUUAUAUUUUGUAGUAGACUUUUUCUAAGUAAUUUUGUCAAAAAAAUCUAUAUAUGGAAACUUAAGAGUACACUAUUAUUUCUAUAAAUAUUUAUUUGUCAUAAUGCAAAUGAAUUAAUAUAUUAAAAAACAACAAAUUAAAUAUCUUAAAUUAAUAUAUUAUAAAAUUUUAUAUCUUAUUUGUAUGUCAUAUAAUUUUAUUAUUUUAAGAUUAUUAAUUUAUUGAUAAAUAAAAUAUUCAUUUAUUGUAUUAUAUUUAUCAAUUUAUGUUUAUUAAAGUAAUACUAGAUUUUUAAGUUUAAAUAUAAAUAAUUUAUUAUUAAAGUAUGUAUUUUUAAUUUCAAUAAUAAGUUGUAAUUUAAUAUUUUUAAUUAAAUUUGAAAGUUAAAAAAAAAAAAAUUAACUAAAGCCUCAAUUGGCAACUACGUCUUAGGAGUAUACUAUUAUUUUGAUAAAGAUAAAAUUGUCAUAAUACAAAUAAAUUAAUAUAUUAAAAAAUAAAAAAAAUUAAAUAUCUUAAAUUAAUAAAUUAUAUAAUUUUAUAUCUUAUUUAUAUAUUAUAUAAAUUUAUUAUUUUAAUAUUAUUAAUUUAUUAAUAAAUAAAAUAUUCAUUUGUAAAUAAAAUACAAUUUUUGUUUUUAAUAAUUUUAAAAUAAGGAUAAUUUUUCUAACAUCUUAAUACUAUUAAUAUAAUCCAUUUUAAUAUUUUUCUCAUAUCUAUUUUUGUUAAUUUGAAAACAUUCAAGUAUAACAAAUUAUCAGGUAUUUGUCAUGAGUACUUUGAUUCAAGGUGAAAAUUGUUGAAUGGUGUCUCAAAUUCCUAAUUUAUUUAUUUUUUGUAAAAAGAAUAAUAUAUAAAAUAUUUCAUAAGUUUCUAUAUGGUUGUAAUUAGAUUCCUUAUUUAAAGAAGAAAAAAAAGCCUAAAAGAAUAUUUUUAUAAAUAUGUUAAGUCGCAAGAGAAAAAAGUUAUGUAAGAGAUAUGAACUUGUGAGAACUAUAUAUGUCGGAUAAAGUUGUGAAAAAUAUUAAGGUGGAAGUACAAAGAGUAAGGAAACAUUUGAGACCUACUAUUUAUAUUCAUUUUUAUCAUUUAUAAUAUUUUUUAUCAUUUAGUGGAAUCAUGUCUCAUCAGUAGUCAUAAUUGAUCAAACCAUAUUAAAACUUCAUGUGUCUUUGCGUGUAGAUGGUUUUAAUUAAUGUUAUCCCAUUACUUAAUAUGUUUAUGUAAGAAGUAAAAACUUCCACACAUAUAACAAAUGAUAUCAAAGCUUUUGUUGGGCUGACAUGUGUUGCUUCCUAUCACAAUAAAAUCAUCAAAAUACUCCAAUAAGUAUAUUAGAAUUCCUACAUGAGAGUAGAUAAACAAGGAGGUGUUACCAGAUACAAUGAGUAGCCAGCUACUCAUUGCAUGGGUAGAAAAAUGGAUUGCUUUUGGAUCUUGGAAGAGUGGCCGUGUGUUACUUGAACUUCUUUUUGUUCUUAUAUUAUUAUAUCCAUGAGACUGAAUCCAUAAUCAGUCAAUUCAUUGAUUCGAAUGAAGUUUUUCUUUUGCAAUUUACCUUCUACUCCUCAAAGAGAAUAAAAAAACCUAUAGAUAUAAAUUAUUUUCUAAGCAUUCAAACUAUAUAUGUUUUUUUUAUAAAAAAAAAAUAAUUAUACUAUAUCAAAAGGUAUCUUAUCAAAGUUUGACAAUGUGGUCAUUCUCAUAUUUCUAGACAUAUUAAUUUUUAUAUUCAAUUUUUUUCUAAGUAUAUUGUUAUUAUAUUUUUAAGCAUCUUUGAAGCCUACUCUUCCACAUCUUUAGGGUUAGAGAACUCUUAAUAUAUUAAAACUCACACCAAGUCAUGAAAAUAUACAUUUCCCUUUUCUUCUUUAUUUUUCGUCGAUAUUUUCAUAAUUCACCGAUAUUUCGAUGAUAUUGUUGAUAAAAAGCUUCCAUUCAUUUAAAACUUUGAAAUUGAUAUAAGAUCGAUUGCCAGUAUAAUUGUGUUGGUCUUAGUUUCAUAAGAUGUCUCAUAUAUAUUAGUUUAUAAAAUAAAAUAAGAUUUAUUAAUAUAUAUUAUAAAUUAAUUAAAAUAAAAUUAUUAUAAAUAAGUUAAAUUUAAUUAAAACAAUUAAAUACAAAAAAUAUAAAUUUAUAAAUAAAAUGAUUAACAUUUUUAAAUAAGAAAUACUUUUAUAUAUAUAAAGAUUUCUUUUAUAUUCUUUAAUAUAUAAAAAAUGUAUUAUAUCCUUCAAUAUAUAUCAAUUUUUAUUAAAAUAAUUACAAUAUAUAUAUUAUUUUUGAGUUUUUUCUAAUAUUUUUAUAAAAAAAUUUAUUUAAUAAUUUCUUUUUAUAUAUCUAUAAAACCUAAAUACCAAAAUAUAUAUCCGUAAUUAGUUUCUGUAGAGCACACGAUGUAAUAUAUGAGAGUAGGACCAACAUUGAAUGCAUGAGUGAGUCUUUUCAAGUAUCACAAGUCCCCAACUAAGUCUACGAGAGGGUUGGCUCACCUUUCUAAACAGCUAUAGAGUUCCUUGCCCCAUAAAGGAGGUAGAAGUGUAGAGUUUUGGGUCAAAAUGCCCAUGUAUUAAAAAAAUUAUUAUCUAACGUUCAAAGUAGUCUCCUUGGUAUCACAUAGGAGUAUGUCAUAUAAAUAUAUAUUUUUUCAAAAUUUCAAUGAAAGGAAUUGAGAUUUCAUUUUUGAAUUGAAAUUAUAGUUAUCAAGUGAUAUUUUAAUUUUUGAAUUAAAGUCGUAAUUGUCAAUUGAAACUUUAUUUUUUAAUUGAAGCCUCAAUUGAUAAUUGAGGUUUCAUUUUUUAACUAGAACCUUAAUAACCAACAGAGGUUUUAGUUAAUUUUUUUUUACUUUAAAAUUUAAUUAAAAACUAUUAAAUUAUAAUUUAUUAUUGAAAUUAAAAAUCCAUGCUUUAGUAAUAAAUUAUUCAUAUUUAAGCUUAAGAAUCUAGCAUUACUGCAAUAAACAUAAAUUGAUAAAUAGAAAAUAUUAUAAAUGAAUAUUCUAUUUAUUAAUAAAUUAAUAAUUUUAAAAUAAUAAAUUUAUAUAACUUAUAAAUAAGAUAUAAAAUUGUAUAAUUUAUUAAUUUAAGAUAUUUAAUUUGAUAUUUAUUAAGAUAUUAAUUUAUUUGUAUUAUGAUAAAUUUAUCUUUAUUGAAAUAAUAGUAUACGCCUAAGUCGUAGUUGCCAACUGAGGCUUCAGUUAAUAUUUUUUUUUACUUUCAAAUUUAAUUAAAAACUAUUAAAUUACAACUUAUUAUUGAAAUUAAAAAUAUAUAUUUUAAUAAUAAAUUAUUUAUAUUUAAACUUAAAAAUUUAGUAUUACUUCAAUAAACAUAAAUUGAUAAAUAUAAUACAAUAAAUGAAUAUUUUAUUUAUCAAUAAAUUAAUAAUCUUAAAAUAAUAAAAUUAUAUGACAUACAAAUAAGAUAUAAAAUUUUAUAAUAUGUUAAUUUAAGAUAUUUAAUUUGUUGUUUUUUAAUAUAUUAAUUUAUUUUUAUUAUGACAAAUUUAUCUUUAUUGAAAUAAUGGUAUACUCUUAAGUUUCUAUAUAUUGAUUUUUUUGACAAAAUUGGUUAAUGAAAUUAGUUAGAAAAAGUCUACUAUAAAAUAUAAUUUUUAAUAGUUUCAUCAAAGUCACAAAAAAUACACACUAAACAUUAUAUGUUGGAAAUAUAUAUAUAUAUAUAUAUAUAUAUAUAUAUGUAACCUCAUAUGCCUCCACAAAGAGAGAACUUAUGGAUAAAUUUAACAUAAUACAAAUCUUAAAAAAAACAAUAAAUUAAAUAUCUUAAAUUAAUAAAUUAUACAAUUUUUUAUCUUAUUUAUAUGUUAUAUAAAAUUAUUAUUUUAAUAUUAUUAAUAAAUAAAAUAUUAAUUUAUAAUAUCUUCUAUCUAUCAAUUUAUAUUUGUUAAAGUAAUACUAGAUUCUUAAGCUUAACUAUAAAUAAUUUAUUAUUAAAAUAUAUUUUUUAUUCAAUAAUAAACUAUAAUUUAAUAGUUUUUAAUUAAAUUUUAAAGUUAAAAAAAAAGUAAUUGAAGUCUCAAUUGACAAUUGAUGGUUUAGUUCAAAAAUUGAAGCCUCAGUUGGCAACUGUGGUUCCAGUUCAAAAAUGAAGGUUCAAUUGCCAAUUGAGGCUUCAACUAAAAUUUUGAAAAAAAAAAAAAUAUUUCUAUGACAUAACUCCUACGUGACUCCAAAGAGACUAGUUUGAACAUAAGUUUCAUAGAGUAGUUAAAUCUUUUUUUUUUUUUUUUUUUUGUAUAUACGGGCCAUUUUGACACAAAACUUCAUCAUUCAAAGGCUUUGUUACCACGUUAAAAUGCCAUGUUUUUAUCUUUUCUUUUUCUUUCGGCCUUAUUAUUUCUUCUAAUGUUUUUUCAAACUUACAUUUUUUUUUAUUGGCUUUCAAAAUCUUUUGAUUUGAUUUAAUGGUAAAAAAAUGUCAAAUGGCAUGUGGAGAGAAAAAAGUAAAGACUAUAAUCAUAUUCUUUUGAAUUCUAAGUUUAAAAGUAUAACGUACGUGAAGUAAACAUGCUCUUGGUUUAAAUUUAAAGAGGCGGAUCCAUCCAAGGGAGGGCAAAGAGUUGGGUGGGCCAAUUAUUGAAAUAAAAAAUAUAUAUUUUAAUAAUAAAUUAUUUAUAUUUAAAUUUAAGAAUCUAAUAUUACUUCAACAAAUAUAAAUUGAUAGAUAGAAGAUAUUAUAAAUGAAUAUUUUAUUUAUUAAUAAAUUAAUAAUCUUAAAAUAAUAAAUUUAUAUAAUAUAUAAAUAAGAUAUAAAAUUGUAUAAUUUAUUGAUUUAAGAUAUUUAAUUUAUUAUUUUUUUAAGAUAUUAAUUUUUUAUAUUAUAUCAAAUUUAUCCAUAGGUUCUCUCCUUGUGGAGGCAUAUGAGAUUAUAUAUGUGUUUUUUUUCCUAGUAUAUAAAUGUUUAGUGGGUAUUUUUUGUGAGUUUUAGAAAACUACUAAAAAUUAUAUUUUGUAGUAAACUUUUUCUAACUAAUUUUGUCAAAAAAAUCUAUAUAUGGAAACUUAAGAGUACACUAUUAUUUCGAUAAAUAUUUAUUUGUCAUAAUGCAAAUGAAUUAAUAUCUUAAAUUAAUAUAUUAUAAAAUUUUAUAUUUUAUUUGUAUGUCAUAUAAUUUUAUUAUUUUAAGAUUAUUAAUUUAUUGAUAAAUAAAAUAUUAAUUUAUUGUAUUAUAUUUAUCAAUUUAUGUUUAUUAAAGUAAUACUAGAUUUUUAAGUUUAAAUAUAAAUAAUUUAUUGUUAAAGUAUAUAUUUUUAAUUUCAAUAAUAAGUUGUAAUUUAAUAUUUUUAAUUAAAUUUGAAAGUUAAAAAAAUAUAUAUUAACUGAAGCCUCAGUUGGCAACUAUGGCUUGAGAGUAUUCUAUUAUUUUGAUAAAGAAAAAUUUGUCAUAAUACAAAUAAAUUAAUAUCUUAAAAAAUAAAAAAUUAAAUAUCUUAAAUUAAUAAAUUAUGCAAUUUUAUAUCUUAUUUAUGUGUUAUAUAAAUUUAUUAUUUUAAGAUUAUUAAUUUAUUAAUAAAUAAAUAUUCAUUUAUAAUAUCUUCUAUUUAUCAAUUUAUAUUUGUUGAAGUAAUACUAGAUUCUUAAGCUUAAAUAUAAAUAAUUUAUUAUUAAAAUAUAUAUAUUUAGUUUCAAUAAUAAAUUAUAAUUUAAUAGUUUUUAAUUAAAUUUUAAAGUAAAAAAAACAAAAUUAAAUGAAACCUCAAUUGAUAACUACAGUUUUAAUUCAAAAACUAAAGGCUUAGUUGGUAAUUGCAGCUUCGGUUCAAAAAUGAAGGCUCAGUUGCCAAUUGAAACUUUAACUAAAAUUUUGAAAAAAAAAAUUAUAUUUAUAUGACAUGGCUCCUACGUGGCACCAAAGAGAUUAACUUGAACAUAAGUUUCAUAAAAUUGUUAAAUCUAAAUUUUUUUUAUAUAUAUAAAUGGGUCAUUUUGACCCAAAACUCACAAGUGUAAGAUGUCUUGAAAGUGAUUAGGCACUCACCAUCCUCCUCUUUUCUUUUUCAAAACUUAGAUAUUUCUUUGGGAAAUCAUGCUUUAGGGAUAGUUAAAACUUAAAAGCAUAUAAUGGACACAAGAUGAUUAUGCUUUAACCACCAGAAACAUGAAAUAGAAAUUAGGAAAUGUGAAUACACGGUUUUGUUGGCGGCGGCGGCAUAUCAUCAUCAUCAUUUUUAUAUAUUUCAAUUUUACUAAAAUAUUUCUUUAGAAAUUGAAAUAAAAACAUAAAAUAUUUUGUUUUUAAUAAUUUUAAAAUAAGCAUAAUUUUUUUAACAUCUUAAUACUAUUAAUAUAAUCCAUUUUAAUAUUUUUCUCAUAUCUAUUUUUGUUAAUUUGAAAACAUUCAAGUAUAACAAAUUAUCAUGUAUUUGUCAUGAGUUAAUGUACUUUGAUUCAAGGUGAAAAUUGUUGAAUGGUGUCUCAAAUUCCUAAUUUUAUUUUUUAUUUUUUAUUUUUGUAAAAAGAAUAAUAUAUAAAAUAUUUCAUAAGUUUCUAUAUGAUUGUAAUUAGAUUCCUUAUUUAAAAAAGAAAAAAAAAACUAAAAGAAUAUUUCUAUAAAUAUGUUAAGUCAUAAAAGAAAAAAGUUAUGAGAGAGAUAUGAACUUGUGAGAACUAUAUGUGUCGGAUAGAGUUGUGAAGAAGAUUAAGAGACACCCGAUAAAACAUGAUUUAAGGUGGAUGUACAAAGAGAAAGAAAACAUUUGAGAUCUACUAUUUAUAUUUAUUUCUGUCAUUUAUAAUAUUUUUUAUCAUUUAGUGGAAUCAUGUCUUGUCAGUAGUCAUGAUUGAUCAAACUACAUUAAAACCUCAUGUGUCAUUGACUCUUUGUGUGUAGAUGGUUUUAUUUUAUGUUAUCCCAUUACUUAAUAUGUUUAUAUAAGAAGUAAGAACUUCCACACAUAUAACAAAUGAUAUCAAAGCUUUUGUUGGGCCGACAUGUGUUGCUUCCUAUCACAAUAAAAUCAUCAAAAUACUCCAAUAAGUAUAUUAGAAUUCCUACAUGAGAGUAGAUAAACAAGGAGGUGUUACCAGAUACAAUGAGUAGCCAGCUACAUCUCAAGCCUCCAGAAUCUUUGUGUCUGGCCUGUGGAAAGCACGAACAUGGAGGCCUCCAUCAAUAAGAAGGGUGAUCAUUGUCCUGUAAUUCACAGCUUUCUUAUCGUCGCUCAGCUUAAAAACAAAACAACCGGACAGAAUGGCUGAGAGGAUCUUCAUCUGCCUAUAAGCAAACUCCUUUCCCAAACAAAUUCUCGGGCCUGCCUGUUAACCAAC